UACGAAGGGGGCUAGCGUUGUUCGGAAUUACUGGGCGUAAAGCGCGUGUAGGCUGACUAGUCAGUCAGGGGUGAAAUCCCGGGGCUCAACCCCGGAACUGCCUUUGAUACUGCUAGUCUUGAGACCGGUAGAGGUGAGUGGAAUUCCGAGUGUAGAGGUGAAAUUCGUAGAUAUUCGGAGGAACACCAGUGGCGAAGGCGGCUCACUGGACCGGUACUGACGCUGAGACGCGAAAGUGUGGGGAGCAAAC
Molecule: ribosomal RNA, 250 nt
Filed under: uncultured bacterium
Lineage: Bacteria
Description: partial 16S ribosomal RNA
Rfam family: Bacterial small subunit ribosomal RNA
Source: RNAcentral